Molecule: ribosomal RNA, 460 nt
Filed under: uncultured bacterium
Lineage: Bacteria
Description: partial 16S ribosomal RNA
Rfam family: Bacterial small subunit ribosomal RNA
Source: RNAcentral
CCUACGGGAGGCAGCAGUGAGGAAUAUUGGUCAAUGGACGAGAGUCUGACCCAGCCAAGUAGCGUGAAGGAUGACUGCCCUCUGGGUUGUAAACUUCUUUUAUAUGGGAAUAAAACAGGGUAUGCAUACCCUCUUGUAUGUACCAUAUGAAUAAGGAUCGGCUAACUCCGUGCCAGCAGCCGCGGUAAUACGGAGGAUCCGAGCGUUAUCCGGAUUUAUUGGGUUUAAAGGGAGCGUAGGUGGAUUGUUAAGUCAGUUGUGAAAGUUUGCGGCUCAACCGUAAAAUUGCAGUUGAAACUGGCAGGCUUGAGUACAGUAGAGGUGGGCGGAAUUCGUGGUGUAGCGGUGAAAUGCUUAGAGAUCACGAAGAACUCCGAUUGCGAAGGCAGCUCACUGGACUGCAACUGACACUGAUGCUCGAAAGUGUGGGUAUCAAACAGGAUUAGAUACCCGAGUAGUC